GUUAUAAAAUAUCUCGAAAACGAUAGUGAUAAAUAUGUAAGAAGCAAAGUUGUAAGAUUAAAAAUAUAUUUAUCCAAUGAUGAUAAGAGUUUGGCUUUGGGUAUGAUUAUAUGGGUAUGUUGUGUAUAUAUAUAUAUAUAUAUAUAUACACGUAUGUGUAUAUAGCAUAUAGAGCAUAUGAUGAUAUGAGCAUAUAGAGACAAAAUUCAUAUAUAAUCAUUUUUUCCCGGGAUAUUUGGUAUGUGUAAAUAUUAAUAAAGCCUUAAAGUAGAAUAGAUAGCGCGAAAAUUCUUUAUUAACGUGGGAAAUAUUUAUUUAGGGAUUUUUCAGGUUUUGAUCAAAUGACGCUGUUUUACAUUAUCCAUUCUCAGUUUAGCUCUCUAAUACAAUCUCACAUGAUGCAAUGUUCACGUUUCGACACAGGAUGUAAUGUAAUGUAUAUAAUGUAUGUAUCCGUUAUCCGUAAGUUCCUCUGGAGUAUUAUGUAUGCGUGCGGUUUCUCCAUUAAUCUAUACAAAUCCAAAAAUUAAUAUUUUUUUAUUAAUUCAAAAUUACAUUGAUUUUUAAGUCAAAGCUACGUCUCGCAAUGUAGCAUGAAUGUCACCACUCGUUUAAAUUUCAUAUUCGUUAUAUUAAGUCUCAAUUGAAGGGCUGACGUAAUUAAUUAAAAAGACAUGUAAUAAAUCUGCCGUUGUAAUUGGCAACUAUAAUACAUUUCUUUUAUCGUCUCUCCAAAUCCUUCAUUUAAAGUAAUAGGUUAACCGAAACUGUAUCUCAUUUCAGUAAACAGUAUAUUGUAGAUUGAGAAAAAGCUCUGAUGACUUUUCUGUAUAAUUACAAUUGCGGUAUAACGUGUCAACCCUUAGAGCUUUCGUACAACUUCAAAAAUCGACAAAAAGGUAAAAAAUGAAGGGAACGUAGAAAAAUAGGAAAUCAAUUUGCGCAUUAAGUAUCGGGUAGUAGUAACGAGAAGUCCUGUAAUCACCUCAAUCAGACGCUUAGAAACCCCAAGCAGAACACAGCUAAGAUAAUAGGAGGAGGAAGAAGAAGAAGAAGAAGCAGCAAGAAUAAUCAGCAAUGCCAAAUUUUAAGGAGGGGGAUAUUUAUUAUCAAUAUGGCAACUGCAACAUGUAUUAUGGGAAUUCCUAUUGCAAAGCAGAUCCUCUUGACUUAAAACGUUUGCUGAGUGUAAAAAGUUGUUUGUGGAAAAAGAUUGUUCUGAAAAUUGUACAUAAUAUUUGGCAUAUCACCUCAUCUGUAACGAGAGAGUAAAGAGUGUCACGGAAAUUGAUGUCGAUAGAAUACUGCUCGAUCAGUAUUGCUCGAAAAAAAAAAUGUAAAGCAUUAUAUAAAGUGCGUGCAAUGGUUGGUGAUGAUUUACAUAGAAAUGUGGAGAGCGACAGAAGAGAAAGUAUCAGAUUUGGAUAUGAAUUUCUUCCCUAAGUCGUUGCCCGUCAACUAUAGGCCCAUACAUAUUCCAGGAACCACGGACGGUGUUUCCUCAUAAUGUCACAUUUGUCGAACUAUGCAUAAUGACGUUUUUCUGCACGCAGAGCAACCAUACUUCGAUACGAUUUUACCCCAGUUUGGCUAUCUGGAUACAUCUCUGUAUCAUCAAGUGGAUGCAUUUCAAUUUUGAUGACGCUGGCCUCAAGUAGACGUUUAAGCGUAAUUACGUUCCGGUGAUGUGCUGGAAUCUCAAAGUUGGAACAGCUACACCAAGAAGAAGAAUAUCGCUAAGCAAAUUUAUAUGAAUUACCGCAGCAUCGAAUUUCAUCAUUUUACGUAUAUAUCUUUUGUAGGGGAAGUAUGUCGAAUAUUAAGUACUGAAGUGAUUAAAAAUGAUUUGAAAUUAAAUAUGACUGAUAUAAAAUUCAAACGAGUCGUGACAUUUUUGCCACAUUAAGUAAAGCGUGAGAUGACCUAGCGCAAACAUGGAUAUGUAACUGUUACGUUCUUAUAAUGAAACGGAAUGUAAUACGCAAUGUAUUACGUGUAUAAAUUGAUUCGGUGCCUUUGCAUUUAAUGUCCAGUAACUUUGAUUCAAAUUAAAAUUUUUUUUCCAUCCUAAGAUGAUUUGAAAGUGCCAACCUUAAGCUUUAAGAAGCAUUAUAAUAGUUGCCGUCUUAUAACCUCAGAAAACAGUAGUUAUCACGAUGUUGUUUGAAAAAAAAAACAACUUAGGCAACCUUCUUGCACUUCGGUUGAAUCAAAAUGCUGCUCAGUCUAUCGAAAUGAUUUGUUCCGCUUUGGAUGAAAGUGCUAUAUAGAAGGUGACCCAUAAAACUUGUAAAAAAACCUUUUACUGACAAUAGAAGAAUAGGCAAGUGAUUCUGCUGCACGAUAACGCGCGGCCACAUGUCGCAAAAGAGAGGAAGGAUCUCAUCUAAACAUUGGGCUGGGAAUUUCUCUCUCGUGCAGCUUAUUCUAGAGAUCUAGCCCCGUCAGGGCUAUUUACCAUCUAUUUUGGUCGCUUCAAAAUCAUCUGGCGGAUACACAUUUUAAAAAAGUUGACAAGGCCCGUAAAAACAUUGAUGACUUUAUUGAGUCAAAAUUACUAAGUUUUUUUCCCGCAAGGGCAUUCAUCAGUUACUCGAUAUACAUGGAAUGAAGUCAUAGAAAAUGAUGGAAAUUAUUUUGAACAUUAAGCUUGUAUUUGACUUUUUGUAAAUAAACUUUGAAUUUGAUGAAAAAAGGCAGCGAAUUAAUUUGUACACCUAAUAACACACAUGUACCAGUUAGUAGUAAUUUUCUACAUAUAUGAAUUAUAUAAUGUAAAUAUAACAUGUCACUAAAAUAUUAUACAGAUGUUAUGUAACUGUUAUGCGGGAAGUAAUACAGAUGUUAUAUGUAAUUGUUAAAAAUGUAACUAAAAUGUAAGAGUUAUAUAAAUUAGUAUAUUUUU
This is a long non-coding RNA of Dinoponera quadriceps, 2905 nucleotides long. RefSeq lists it as uncharacterized. The record is from RefSeq and is a predicted model, not a curated record. The transcript is spliced from 2 exons. Lineage: Eukaryota; Metazoa; Arthropoda; Insecta; Hymenoptera; Formicidae.